Molecule: non-coding RNA, 1297 nt
Organism: Camellia sinensis
Lineage: Eukaryota; Viridiplantae; Streptophyta; Magnoliopsida; Ericales; Theaceae
Source: RefSeq, a predicted model, not a curated record
AGAGAGCCAAAUACCAAAUUCAUUUUGCCCGCUCCUUUCUCUAUUACAGAAAACAACAUUCAAAUCUCUCACACACACAAACUGUCCUUCACCAAACCUCACUGAGAAUCACCUCACUGCAGCCCACCAUACGGAGGACAUCGCCAUGGCCAUGGCCACGGCCACCAGCACCGCCACCGCUGCAAAUCACCACCACCACAGCCACAGAUCACAGGAUAUUGCGGUUGCUGAUCUUGCUCCAACUCACCCUAUAAGGUUGGGGCUGCCACUCAACUUCUCGGUUUUCUACUAUGGGAUUCUAAAUGCAUUAGAGAAAGUUUGUAGCAUGGCUAAACAGGAAGAUGUCUAACUCAUGGUGGAAACAGGCUUGGAGGCUUAUAGGUUCUCCAUAUCUUGGUCAAGACUUAUCCCUAAUGGAAGAGGACCUGUUAACCCAAAGGGUUUAGAAAAAAACAACAACCUCAUCAAUGAACUUGUCAAACACGGUUACUCACAAUUUUGAGAUUUCCAUUAUAAACAUUGCAAUACUUUUUGUUAGCACUUGAGAAAAUAUCAAAGCAGUUUGUUUUUCUUGUAAAAGCAGGAAAAGGUACUUCCAAAAUGCCAACCAAAUGACAUCUCUCUCCUUUUCUCUCUGUGAUUAAUAUCAUUUUGUCUUUAUCAAAUGCACAUUGACGUACCUCAAGUUCUUGAAGAUGAAUAUGGAGGAUGGCUUAGUCGGAAAAUGGUGGGAGACUUCACAGCAUAUGCUGAGGUUUGCUUUAGGGAAUUUGGAGAUAGGGUUUUGCAUUGGACAACCGUGAAUGAGGGCAAUGUAUUUGUAAUUGGUGGUUAUGAUAUAAGAGGAAUACCCCCUCAGCGCUGCUCUGCUCCAUUUGGAAUAAACUGUUCUAAGGGUAACUCCUCAACUGAGCCAUACAUUGCUGCUCAUCAUAUCUUGCUGGCACACUCAUCAGCUGCAAGAUUGUACAAGCAAAUGUACCAGGUAUAUUAUAUUACAGGAGCUUUUUGGUAAGAUAUUAAGGAAUCUACUAUUCUUUACAUAGACUGCCUUUUAGUUUGUCAUACAAAUUAGAGAAUGGGUCACUGCUGUUUCCUUUGGUGGGGCUUACCUCAGGUUCAUUUUUGUGAUCCUGAUGUUCAUCUUAUAUUGUCGCAAAGCAAAUCAUUCAUUAAAAAAAAAAAUACGUUGAUCAGUAAUCAUAAUAGGAUCACCUUUGUUUUAACAAAAAUAGACGGCAAAUGUGAAUUUUGAGAGUAGAUCAUUCAUUUUUUCUAAAACAAAUGCUAGUUUUUU